GGAAUUUUGGACAAUGGGCGAAAGCCUGAUCCAGCAAUGCCGCGUGAGUGAAGAAGGCCUUCGGGUUGUAAAGCUCUUUUGUCAGGGAAGAAACGGUGAAAGCUAAUAUCUUUUGCUAAUGACGGUACCUGAAGAAUAAGCACCGGCUAACUACGUGCCAGCAGCCGCGGUAAUACGUAGGGUGCAAGCGUUAAUCGGAAUUACUGGGCGUAAAGCGUGCGCAGGCGGUUUUGUAAGUCUGAUGUGAAAUCCCCGGGCUCAACCUGGGAAUUGCAUUGGAGACUGCAAGGCUAGAAUCUGGCAGAGGGGGGUAGAAUUCCACGUGUAGCAGUGAAAUGCGUAGAUAUGUGGAGGAACACCGAUGGCGAAGGCAGCCCCCUGGGUCAAGAUUGACGCUCAUGCACGAAAGCGUGGGGAGCAAACAGGAUUAGAUACCCGGG
RNAcentral lists this ribosomal RNA (440 nucleotides) under uncultured Janthinobacterium sp. RNAcentral's name for it is "bacterial SSU rRNA". It matches the Rfam family "Bacterial small subunit ribosomal RNA", at positions 358 to 790 of the family's 1533-position model. Lineage: Bacteria; Pseudomonadati; Pseudomonadota; Betaproteobacteria; Burkholderiales; Oxalobacteraceae. The record is from RNAcentral.